GUGCUCGCUUUGGUAAUACAUACACUAAAAUGGAAACGAUACAGAGAAGAUUAGCAUGGCUCAGUGCAAGGAUGACACACAAAUUUAUGAAGUGUUCCAUUAAUAA
Molecule: small nuclear RNA, 106 nt
Filed under: Carlito syrichta (Philippine tarsier)
Lineage: Eukaryota; Metazoa; Chordata; Mammalia; Primates; Tarsiidae
Source: RNAcentral